RNAcentral lists this ribosomal RNA (361 nucleotides) under uncultured bacterium. RNAcentral describes it as "bacterial SSU rRNA". It matches the Rfam family "Bacterial small subunit ribosomal RNA", at positions 32 to 378 of the family's 1533-position model. The record is from RNAcentral.
AAUCAACGCUGGCGGCGUGCCUAACACAUGCAAGUCGAACGCGGUUAUCCAGCAAUGGAUAACUGAGUGGCGAACGGGUGAGUAACACGUGGGUGACCUACCUUCGAGUGGGGAUAACGUCCCGAAAGGGACGCUAAUACCGCAUAACAUCCUGCCUUUGAACAGGCGGAGAUCAAAGGCCGGGGAUCGCAAGACCUGGCGUUUGAAGAGGGGCCCGCGUCCGAUUAGCUAGUUGGGAGGUAACGGCCCACCAAGCCAGCGAUCAGUAACUGGUGUGAGAGCACGACCAGUCACACGGGCACUGAGACACGGGCCCGACUCCUACGGGAGGCAGCAGUAAGGAAUAUUGGUCAAUGGACGC